Molecule: ribosomal RNA, 445 nt
Filed under: uncultured bacterium
Lineage: Bacteria
Description: bacterial SSU rRNA
Rfam family: Bacterial small subunit ribosomal RNA
Source: RNAcentral
GUGAGGAAUAUUGGUCAAUGGGCGGAAGCCUGAACCAGCCAUCCCGCGUGCAGGAAGACGGCCCUAUGGGUUGUAAACUGCUUUUCCAGGGGGUGAAUUUCUCGGUCGUGACCGGGAUUGACGGUACCCUGGGAAUAAGCAUCGGCUAACUCCGUGCCAGCAGCCGCGGUAAUACGGAGGAUGCGAGCGUUAUCCGGAUUUAUUGGGUUUAAAGGGUGCGUAGGCGGGCCAAUAAGUCAGUGGUGAAAACCUGCAGCUUAACUGUAGACUUGCCGUUGAUACUGUUGGUCUUGAGUAUGGUCAAGGUAGGCGGAAUGUGUAAUGUAGCGGUGAAAUGCUUAGAUAUUACACAGAACACCGAUUGCGAAGGCAGCUUACUGGGCCAUUACUGACGCUGAUGCACGAAAGCGUGGGGAGCGAACAGGAUUAGAUACCCUGGUAGUCC